UUUGUUCUUUUGUCUUCUUAAAAAAACUAUGCAUGCUUUUUUGUUGGUUUUUAGGAUUGUGUUGUGUAAGUAAUUUCUUUCUUCUCUUGAGUAAACAUUCAUAGUGUGAUGUGAUUGCCUUUUUUUUUGCAUUCUCAAUAUGAUAAAGAAGACUAAAUUCAAAAUUAUGCAUCACUUGUGGUAGAUUAUUAUCCCUGAUGAGAAUUUGAGCCUUAUAAUGAAUGACAUACAAAAUUCCAUUUCUUUUUCUUUCUUG
This 256-nucleotide long non-coding RNA is filed under the name Lathyrus oleraceus (garden pea). Its description in RNAcentral is "Pisum sativum (pea) long non-coding RNA (PSAT_LNC016865)". The record is from RNAcentral. Lineage: Eukaryota; Viridiplantae; Streptophyta; Magnoliopsida; Fabales; Fabaceae.